UACGUAGGGGGCGAGCGUUAUCCGGAAUUACUGGGUGUAAAGGGAGCGUAGACGGCGAGGUAAGCCUGAAGUGGAAGCCCGCGGCCCAACCGCGGAACUGCUUUGGGAACUGUUUUGCUGGAGUAUGGGAGGGGUAAGCGGAAUUCCUGGUGUAGCGGUGAAAUGCGUAGAUAUCAGGAGGAACACCGGUGGCGAAGGCGGCUUACUGGACCAUAACUGACGUUGAGGCUCGAAAGCGUGGGGAGCAAACAGG
This 253-nucleotide ribosomal RNA is filed under the name uncultured bacterium. RNAcentral describes it as "partial 16S ribosomal RNA". It matches the Rfam family "Bacterial small subunit ribosomal RNA", at positions 524 to 776 of the family's 1533-position model. The record is from RNAcentral.